Dermacentor albipictus is the source of this 75-nucleotide non-coding RNA. Lineage: Eukaryota; Metazoa; Arthropoda; Arachnida; Ixodida; Ixodidae. The record is from the annotation of a RefSeq genome assembly.
GCCGCGGUAUAGCUCAGUUGGUGAGAGCAUCGCACGCGUAAUGCGAAGACGUGGGUUCGUAUCCCACUUACGGCC